UUUAUAAUGGCAGAAAAAUGCAUAGAUUUUAAGCGUCUAAGAUAGGAUUAUUUCCUUUAUUUUU
Molecule: transfer RNA, 64 nt
Filed under: Pupilla muscorum
Lineage: Eukaryota; Metazoa; Mollusca; Gastropoda; Stylommatophora; Pupillidae
Description: tRNA-Leu
Source: RNAcentral